RNAcentral lists this ribosomal RNA (253 nucleotides) under uncultured bacterium. RNAcentral describes it as "partial 16S ribosomal RNA". It matches the Rfam family "Bacterial small subunit ribosomal RNA", at positions 524 to 776 of the family's 1533-position model. The record is from RNAcentral.
UACGAAGGGGGCUAGCGUUGCUCGGAAUCACUGGGCGUAAAGCGCACGUAGGCGGCUUUUUAAGUCAGGGGUGAAAUCCUGGAGCUUAACUCCAGAACUGCCUUUGAUACUGAAGAGCUAGAGUCCGGAAGAGGUGAGUGGAACUGCGAGUGUAGAGGUGAAAUUCGUAGAUAUUCGCAAGAACACCAGUGGCGAAGGCGGCUCACUGGUCCGGUACUGACGCUGAGGUGCGAAGGCGUGGGGAGCAAGCAGG